RNAcentral lists this ribosomal RNA (526 nucleotides) under Melanohalea aff. laciniatula SL-2012. RNAcentral describes it as "eukaryotic LSU rRNA". It matches the Rfam family "Eukaryotic large subunit ribosomal RNA", at positions 112 to 650 of the family's 3401-position model. Lineage: Eukaryota; Fungi; Ascomycota; Lecanoromycetes; Lecanorales; Parmeliaceae. The record is from RNAcentral.
AAUUUGAAAUCUGGCCCUUUUGGGGUCCGAGUUGUAAUUUGUAGAGAGUGCUUCGGGGGAGACCGCGGUCUAAGUCCAUUGGAACAUGGCGUCCCAGAGGGUGAGAAUCCCGUAUGUGACCGCGGCUCGAGCCCAUGUGAAGCCUCUUCGACGAGUCGAGUUGUUUGGGAAUGCAGCUCUAAAUGGGUGGUAAAUUUCAUCUAAAGCUAAAUACUGGCUGGAGACCGAUAGCGCACAAGUAGAGUGAUCGAAAGAUGAAAAGCACUUUGGAAAGAGAGUUAAACAGUACGUGAAAUUGUUGAAAGGGAAGCGCUUGCAACCAGACCUGCCCGUAGGCGAUCAACCGCUGUUCUCAGCGGUGCACUCGUUCUGCGAUCAGGCCAGCAUCGGUUCUGGCGGUCGGAUAAAGGCCUUGGGAAUGUAGCUUCCCUUCGGGGGAGUCUUAUAGCCCUCGGUGCAAUGCGGCCAGCCGGGACCGAGGACCGCGCUUCGGCUAGGAUGCUGGCGUAAUGGUUGUAAGCGACCC